AUGGCAAACUCCGUUGGUAAUGAUAAGACUGCUAAUAAGGUUGCCCUCUGCUCGGCCGUCUUUGCUGGGUUCGCAUAUGUAGGAUACUCGGUGGUGAGAACUGCAUUCUGUCGAAAAUUAGGUCAGCGCGAGGGUGAAGGCGGUUAUCGGCAAGAACAUCGAUUGUACUUCAGGAGAUUAUCUCAGACCACACAGACUGAUGUUUUGCUAGGGGACCUGGACCUCUCAGGAUCAAAGAAGAUUGCACUCAGACCAUUCACUGUUCAGGAAAGAAUCAGAGAAUGAAUUUAAGGGCAAAAAUGUUUACAGAUACAGUACUAGCAAUACAGACAAACCAGUCGCCUCAUAAGUCUCACAGCGUUCAUAGUGCCCGAAGUUUGACGGUAAGUCUGUCUGCAAAAUUCAUAUCUCUUUGAACAGAUGCACUAAAUUUUUCCUCAAUUUUGUGAGCUACAUACUAGUAGCAAAGAAAUCUAGAUAGAUA
RNAcentral lists this long non-coding RNA (484 nucleotides) under Bemisia tabaci. Its description in RNAcentral is "lncRNA ENSSSA2NGG012633". Lineage: Eukaryota; Metazoa; Arthropoda; Insecta; Hemiptera; Aleyrodidae. The record is from RNAcentral.